Molecule: unclassified non-coding RNA, 169 nt
Filed under: uncultured Orbiliaceae
Lineage: Eukaryota; Fungi; Ascomycota; Orbiliomycetes; Orbiliales
Description: sequence contains ITS2
Source: RNAcentral
CAACCCUCAGCUAACCGCUGGUUUUGAACCUGAACGGGGUAACACCUGCGCUGGUUUUAAAGUUGUAAGCUCUGCUGGCCGCUCUGCCAAACCAGAACAUAGUAAGCUCUACUUGUUUGGGUGAAGCUGGAACGGUUUACGGCCUGAACAAAACCAUUUUUCUUUUAAG